This 523-nucleotide ribosomal RNA is filed under the name uncultured bacterium. Its description in RNAcentral is "bacterial SSU rRNA". It matches the Rfam family "Bacterial small subunit ribosomal RNA", at positions 355 to 896 of the family's 1533-position model. The record is from RNAcentral.
UGGGGAAUAUUGGACAAUGGGGGCAACCCUGAUCCAGCCAUGCCGCGUGAGUGAAGAAGGCCUUAGGGUUGUAAAGCUCUUUCAACGGUGAAGACGAUGACAGUAGCCGUAGAAGAAGCCCCGGCUAACUCCGUGCCAGCAGCCGCGGUAAUACGGAGGGGGCAAGCGUUGUUCGGAAUUACUGGGCGUAAAGGGCGCGUAGGCGGUCUGUUGCGUCAGGUGUGAAAGCCCUGGGCUCAACCUGGGAGGUGCACUUGAUACGGGCGGACUAGAAUCCGAGAGAGGGUGGUGGAAUUCCCAGUGUAGAGGUGAAAUUCGUAGAUAUUGGGAAGAACACCGAUGGCGAAGGCAGCCACCUGGCUCGGUAUUGACGCUGAGGCGCGAAAGCGUGGGGAGCAAACAGGAUUAGAUACCCUGGUAGUCCACGCCGUAAACGAUGUGUGCUAGCCGUCGGGCAGCUUGCUGUUCGGUGGCGCCGCUAACGCAUUAAGCACACCGCCUGGGGAGUACGGCCGCAAGGUUA